Molecule: ribosomal RNA, 423 nt
Filed under: uncultured bacterium
Lineage: Bacteria
Description: bacterial SSU rRNA
Rfam family: Bacterial small subunit ribosomal RNA
Source: RNAcentral
GUGGUAGCAGCAGUGGGGAAUCUUGGACAAUGUGUUAACACACGAUCCAGCAAUAUCUAGAGACUAUGAAGGUUUGAGAGAACUGAAAGGUUUAGAAUAAUAAAGAACAAGGUAUUUCUUGACUUACUUUUAUUAUGUAAGCUCCGACAAUUUCGUGCCAGCAGUCGCGGUAAGACGAGAGGAGCAAGUGUUAUUCGUGCUGAUUGGGCGUAAAGGGUAUGUAGACGGUUAAAUAAGUUUAAAGUUAAAAACAAUGAGCUUAACUCUUGAGAAGCUUUUUAAUACUAUUUAACUUUGAGUAUAUUAGAAAAUAGUGGGAUUUUUUAGAGGAAAGGUAAAAUUUUAAUGAUUUUAAGGAGACGAAGCUUGCGAAGGCGACUUUUUAUAAUAUACUGACGUUGAGAUACAAAAGUAUAGGGAGUC